Small nuclear RNA from Suncus etruscus (white-toothed pygmy shrew), 163 nucleotides. RefSeq annotates it as U1 spliceosomal RNA. The record is from RefSeq and is a predicted model, not a curated record. Lineage: Eukaryota; Metazoa; Chordata; Mammalia; Eulipotyphla; Soricidae. The transcript has a single exon.
AUACUUACCUAGUAGGGGAGUUACCAUGAACAUAAAAGUGGUUUCCCCAGGGCAAGGCUUAUCUAUUGCUCUACAGAUGUGCUGACCCCUGUGAAUUUCCCAAAUGUGGAAAAUCUACUGCUUAAUUUGUGAUAGUGAAGGACUGCAUUUGUACUCUCCCCUG